Molecule: non-coding RNA, 233 nt
Organism: Pelobates cultripes (western spadefoot toad)
Lineage: Eukaryota; Metazoa; Chordata; Amphibia; Anura; Pelobatidae
Source: the annotation of a GenBank genome assembly
AUCACUGUGUGAUAGUCAGAUACAUUAUGCCGGUCAGCAGCAAGAGAGGGAUAUCUCCCAGUCAUGCUGCAAACAGCCACUAGAUGGCAGUCACAGACUGCUUUUUUAACUUUCAUGUAGGGAAACCCUCUGCUGAUAUCGGCAGAGGGAAUCCCUUAGGGGUAGUGUCAGGUUAGGGUCAAUACUGUUGUAGGGUUAGGGAUAGUGUAGGAUUAAGUUUGGGGUAAGGUUUU